Molecule: long non-coding RNA, 398 nt
Filed under: Anas platyrhynchos platyrhynchos (common mallard)
Lineage: Eukaryota; Metazoa; Chordata; Aves; Anseriformes; Anatidae
Description: lncRNA (ENSAPLG00000021548.1)
Source: RNAcentral
UGACCACAAAUCUGCUCCUGAAAGCUUUUCUCUCCUGCUUGUCUCAGUCAGAUCCCACACGCUGUUUUUCAAGGUGUCCUACAACUUAAUUAUUAAGAACAAGGAGGUUGUGGGGUACUUCUGUUACCUCAGAGCCCCUCCUCCUCGGAACUCCUUUGCAGCAGAAUUUUCUGAUGCAGCUUAAGGCUAUGACUCCAGUUACAAGCAGAACACAAACCCAGGUUACCAGAGAGGAAAGGGAAAGAGCAGUUGGAAGGUUUCUUUGUGGCAAAUCAGAUCCACAGUUUGGGAAGGAAGUGAAAAUGCACAUCUUUGUUAAAAAUGUUACAAAAAAAAUCAACACCUCUAAGCAGCAACUAUAUGAAGGUGGUUUUAGGUAUGCUACCUGGCAAGCAUGA